UAGAAUUUCGGCUUUGCCGAUAAAUAAGCAUGUUCAGUUAUAUUUGAACAGGUUUUGAAAUGACAAUGAAUACGGACUAGUAGUUUUGAGAAAAAGUCGUCUAAAGUUUGUGAACUAAAAAAGUGACGAAACACAAAAUUACCCUAUAUUGUCAAAAGUGUGCACAAUAAUGUAUAAAAGUGACGUUUGUACACGCAUCAUUACGUUUGAGAAAUAUCAAAAACAAGGUGGUAAAUACAAUGGAAAGCUUCAA
RNAcentral lists this unclassified non-coding RNA (253 nucleotides) under Bactrocera tryoni. RNAcentral's name for it is "pRA1 family protein 3, transcript variant X1". The record is from RNAcentral. Lineage: Eukaryota; Metazoa; Arthropoda; Insecta; Diptera; Tephritidae.